CCCCAGGAUUCAGCUUUCUGGAUUUCAGCGUUUUCAGAUCUUCAGCAAUUCUGAGUUUGGCAAUUUCUGUCUCCACCACACCAAUCUUCCAGUGGGCUGCUACGGAUCUCUGAGGGACGUGAGGAGGCUUCCAGUGGCCAACCUCAGAGAGGAAGGGUUCGGAGGUUUUGCAGGUAGCCCAAGGACUGAAAUGGUUUCCAGCUUUGCCGCUGGUAUAGCCUGAAAGGAAAAGGUGAAAACCUGAAGCAGGGUGCCUCACUGAGCUGCCUGAAUGUGGCCAUUUGUAGGGUCAUUAGGUGGCUGCAGCUGCUGUUUCAAGACUUGAUUAUCUGGUUCUGUGCUGGCACAUCUCAGCAGCUCCAGUUUGCAUCUCUUGCUUCAUCUUCUGCUAUCUUGUGAGUUGGAUCGCAGCCUAUUGUCUGGAUGCCACGUGCUCCAGGAUCUCAGUGGCGGGAAGACACCAUCUUGGGAGCAUGGCCUUUUAUUUGGUAUAGAAGCUCCACAACUUUAGUGGCUGGAAGUCAUCAUCUUUGGAGCCUUUGUGUGUAGGACUUUAAAACACUGGACACUGCUUCAGCAGUUUUAUUGAGAUAUAAUUCACAUACCAUAAAAUUCACUAAUUGAAAGCCUGGGUGACAGUACCUGCAGUGGUCAAGUCCAGUUACUCCUGUGUUCCUGAGGUCUUCCUGAUACCUUUUCCAUCCCUGGCCUCCACUCCCCACCAGCCAUAUACUAAAAGAGAAAUUGGAUUCCUUUUGCUGCAACAUCAGUCAAUUUCUCACUGGAAAGUGAACAUUUGAGCUUAGAAAGUAUUACAUUGGUCAUUACCAAUGCUCCAGAGAGAGAACUGACAUAUGAGAAGGAAGAAAUAUAGGAAGAUAAUGCCAAAUGAAGGAUGGCAGAGAAGCUGAGAAGCAUUUAAUGUCACAAAAAUUAGGUCACCUGCAAAAUAAUGGGUCCAGUGUUUGAUUGCUCAAUGAUCCUGCUAUUGUAUUUAAUUCAUUCCUUAACAGAUCUUUAGAGACAAGAAUGGAAGGUGAAGGAGAGGAGACAACAAGUUUUUCAGGUGAUCCCAGCCAGAAGAAAAUAUGGUAACUUUACAGUUGAGAGCAAAUGCUAGGAGGCAGACAUCGCUGACUCAGUCACAUAGACAGCCCCUGUAAUGGCAAUUUGCAAAGUUGGGUUUUUGUACUAGGUCCAAUUGUCUUGAUAAAUAGUGGAGCUGAUGAAAACCUCCUGGCAUGGAACUUGCAGUAAUUGAAUAGAUCCCCAAGCUGGCUGCUGUCCGGGAAUAUAGUCCUGGAUGCCUGCUUGGCAGGGCCACUGGACAGGUCAUUAGGUCAGGGGGGCCUCCCUGCUCUCAGAGAGGGAGGCUACAUCCUCACUUUAAAGAAGUCUCAUUUCUCUCUUUUAUGAAAACAAUUGCAUUCAACCUUCAGAAUGUCUGGAAAUCCACUGAGCUUGGCUCGCUCUAAUUCUCUGAGCAUAGAAUAAUAGACUGUGAUUUAAUGUGAAUUUUCAUUUCUGCCUCAACAAAAUGGGUUUCCUGCAUGAAUCACCUUUAUUGUGGUUUUAUCCAGGGUCACUUAGCCACAUUAUAAAUGAUCUUUAGAGGCAUGAGAUAAAUCUUUUGCCCCUUUGAUUCACCAAUUCUAUGAACCAAAAAGCUUAAACUUAUUUAGCAAUUUAUUUCCAGAGAUGCCAUCAGGGCUUUCAUAAUUUGAUGGCAGAAGAUGAACGGUCAAUUUUGGGGUCAUCUGUGAAAUGGCUCAUUUCAUAUUCGAGAGUUCCUUGUAUUCCCUGCCCCGCCAUUUGUCUUCCCAAAUUCUGUUAGCAGAUCUUCUUCCAUCUCUGAUUUCAUGCUGAGUGUAUGGCUCUACCUUUUCAA
This is a long non-coding RNA of Talpa occidentalis (Iberian mole), 1888 nucleotides long. RefSeq lists it as uncharacterized. The transcript is spliced from 4 exons. The record is from RefSeq and is a predicted model, not a curated record. Lineage: Eukaryota; Metazoa; Chordata; Mammalia; Eulipotyphla; Talpidae.